GUUGUUCCUGAGGAAAGGACCUUUGAGCUGAGACCUGCAGGAUAAGUCUGGGUGGCACGGAGCAAAGUGGAGGCCAAGAGCCCAGGGGCAGCCCAGUUUCUCCAGCAGGAGGGAACAGGAUGCUUUUUGGAAAUAAAAGUUAGGCACGGUGGCUUGCACCUGAGUCCCCUUUACGCUACUCCGGAGGCCAAGGCAGUAAGAGCGCUUGAGCCCAGGGAGUUCGAGGAUAGCCUGGGCUACAGAGUGAGACCUCUGUGUCUAAGAACAAACACAAACAUGGUCAGGAGGGUGUCACUCAGGGACAGGCAGAAUCAAGAGCUGGUCCUGGAGAGACCAGUGGGGCUGUAUAGACUGGGGGCUUUGGUUGUUUGCUGAGAGCAGGAAGCUGCGGGAAGAAGGCAGUGGUGCCCGGCCAGAAUCCGGAGUGGCUUGGAGGUGGUCAAAGGUUUGAAGACAGCCACAGUACAGUGGACAGAGACAAGAAAAACAGGCACCAAACCGUGCAUCCAGGUAGUCACAGAAAGGAAAUGGGUUUAGAAUGAAGCAAUGUGGGUUAAAGUUAGACCUUGGGGAAACCUUGCAGGGGCCUCUAGUCCUGUGAAGAACUGGACUAGGUGAGAAGAGGAAGCUUUUGACCCAUGUCACUCCCUGGCGCAGAACUAUAUCCUACCCACAGGUGGGUUGAGUUCAGGACUGCUGCUUCCAGCCCCCAGCAGCCAGGUUCAAGUGAGAGCUGACUCACUUAGGGCCCCUUGUUGGAGCCUCAGAGCCAGGUGAAAAGCCACACACAGGCUGGGCACGAUGGCUCACGCCUGUCAUCCCAGCACUUUGGGAGGCCGAGGCGGGUGGAUCACCUGAGGUCAGGAGUUCAAGACCAUCCUGGCCAACAUGGCGAAAUUCUGUCUCUACUAAAAAUACAAAAAUUAGUCCUGCCUGGUGGCACAUGCCUGUAAUCCCAGCUACUCGGGAGGCUGAGGCAGGAGAAUCGCUUGAACCCGGGAGGCAGAGGUUGCAGUGAGCCGAGAUCAUGCCACUGCGCUCCAGCCUGGAUGACAGAGCGGGACUCUGUCUCCAAAAAAAGAAAAGCCACACAGGUGUGUGUGUAGGGGGAAAGGGAGUUUCCUCCUAUCUUCUAGCAGAAAAUGGGGAGAAACUGUUAAAGCCAGAAUGAGGGAGGGCUGUGUGUGGCCUGGGACUGGCAACUGAAGUGUCAAGCUGCCAGGUUUCAGGCCAGUACAGAGCACGGUUCUACCUGGGUUAUGUGUUGCUGGCACUAAUGGUUAGAGACAUCUGUCACUGGUGAGGGCAGAAAUGUAUGCAGGAGGGGGUGUGGGAAGCUGGCCUCACUGGUGGGUGGGGUUGGAGACUUUGCCAGGCCUGGUCAGAAAAAGCUGCUACAAAACAGCAAAACUGCUCCUAGCGCAGCGAUCCCCAACCUUUUUGGCAACAGGGAGUAGUUUCCUGGAAGACCAUUUUUCCAUGGGGGAGGGAGGGCGGGGCUGGUUUCGGGAUGGAAGUGUUCCACCUCCCAUCAUCAGGCAUUAGUCAGACUCUCCUAAGGAGCACACAAAACCUAGACUCCUGGUGUGCACAGUUCACAGGAGGGCUCCUGCUUCUGUGAGAACCGAACGUCCCACUGAUGUGACAGGAUCAGAGCGCCAUCGCUGCUCACCUCCUGCAUGCGGCCCUGUUCCUGACAGGCCAUGGACCAGUACCUGGGGUGUGGGGUCCCCCGCCCUAGGGGAUGAAAGAAGGGAAACCUGGGUCUAAUGGGUUACUGUGAUUCUCCCUGUGAUGCAGGGAAGAGAAAGGACAGAGGUGGGAAGGAACAUGGUCACCAGGAGUCGGGACAGCACCCUUCCAGAUCCUUCCCCUGGGGCUGAGUAAGCACCCUGCACAUAGCUCUUCCUGGCCGCCCAUGGGCUCUGGGAUUUAAACGGACUACGCAGCCAUCCUCACCUUCAUUCACAGCUUGGACAGGGACAGUGUGUGUUGAGGCGGAAAGACAAAACAUAUAUAUGUGAGAGACUUUGUAUGAGCCGGUUCCUGAUGAAGUCCUAUCUUUCAGCCUCGUAUUUACUGCCCAGGCAGAUGGGGCUCUUUUCUUCAUCCCCCUGCUUUUUUUUUUUGAGACAGAAAACUUAAUAGAAAUUUUGUUUGCAGUUCAUACAUUCUCAGUGUGAGCCAAUCUGGGACCCACCGCCCCACCCAGAAGUGGCCCAGUCCUGGUGCAGGGAAGGAAGGGAAGGGUGGAGUGAGAGGAGCCCCAUUUUUCCUCAGUGCCAGGGGGCUGGAGACGCCACCCCCUUCUCCUGCCUCUGGGCUCCAGGAAGGAGUGCAGAUGGACUCUCAGGCCUAUGGUUCCUCCUGCACACCACUGUCCCCCAGGUUGGAGGGGAGUGAGAGAUACAGGGAGAGAAGGGGGACAGAGGCAAGAAAAGGUGUUGAUCAAGAAAGGCGAGAACCAGGGGUGAGGGCUGACGGAGAAUCAAAGAUAAAACACUAGUAGGCCGGGCACGGUGGCUCAUGCCUGUAAUCCCAGCACUUUGGAAGGCCGAGGCGGGCAGAUCACCUGAGGUCGGGAAUUCGAGACCAGCCUGACCAACAUGGAGAAACCCUGUCUCUACUACAAAUAUAAAAUUAGCCGGGUGUGGUGGCACAUGCCUGUAAUCCCAGCUACUCAGGAGGCUGAGGCAGGAGAAUCGCUUGAACCUGGGAGGCAGAGAUUGCGGUGAGCCGAGAUCAUGCCACUGCACUCCAGCCUGGGCAACAAGAGCGAAACUCUGUUUGAAAAAAACAAACAGUAAAAAAGAAA
RNAcentral lists this small RNA (2815 nucleotides) under Pongo abelii (Sumatran orangutan). Its description in RNAcentral is "retained intron". The record is from RNAcentral. Lineage: Eukaryota; Metazoa; Chordata; Mammalia; Primates; Hominidae.